AAAAAGGGGGGGGGGAGGGUCAGGCGUGAUCUCCUACCACACAGAUUGCACAAAGGUCCCCAAGCUAGAAUGGUUUUCCUUUCCCAAUCUUCCAGGUGGAUAACAGGUUAUGCAUUCCUUCUCUUGAAAGAACAUCCCUGUACCCUGUAUCCUAACAUUCCAGGUUCCCCUGGUGCUAGUCUGUGAGCGCAAGGACCUCCAUGCUUCCUACAGGUUUUACUGCCGACUGACCACUUACGUUCAAUUUUAUUUCUGAUAGUUUAGCUGCCUGGAAAAUGGGAACUAGGAUUUGAAAUCUAAAUAUUAUGGAGUACUUAACAUUGUUAAUGCUUAGGUCUAUUUUUGGAGGUAUUUAUAGACUUAGGGAGACUGCUUAUAAGUUUAUAACUAUGAAAAACCAUAUAAUAAAAUCUGACUUUUAAAAAAGAUCAAAAUGCAGUGGUCAGAUGGUCACCAGCGUACUGUGCUCAGGCUUCUCCUGCCGUGGAAUUGGGGAGGGGUCUUUCCAAUGCUUCUGGACUUGGAGAAAAUGCACUGUAUUAUGGGAGAUUGUAAAGAUGAGGUGCAAACGGUAAUACUUUUAGGUUUCAAUUGACUAGGUUUGUUUAGAGACAAAUUGAAACAAUUGUCAGAUUCAGUGCCCCACACUCAGCCACACGUGAUGCCAUGCAAAGCAGGCCCUGCCUGACCGCCACCAGCUCCCUGGAGCCAGUGCAGCUGAUGGCAGAACUGACACAGAGGGAAGGUCUGAGGUUCCUAUGCUAAGCAGGCUCUCUGCACUCCAUCUAUUAGAUAUGUGUGACAUCUUUCCAAACCCGGGUCACAAAUGCACCCUCACAUUCAUCUCACAAAGGCACCUGGAGUUCUGACUUUCAAUUGUAUCUUAGCUGUAAAAAUACCACCACGACAACAGGCCUUGAAUUUUUUGAAUAUAGAUACAGACUGGCACUCCUCCCCCUCCUCUCCUUUACUUUCUUGUCAGCUUGUAUAAUGCACAGUAUCUUUACAAAUGGAUACUUAAUUGGAAUGAUGUAUAUGUGCAAAUAUCACAAUGGUUUUAAUAAAGUAACGAGAUU
This 1076-nucleotide long non-coding RNA is filed under the name Rattus norvegicus (Norway rat). RNAcentral describes it as "long non-coding RNA NONRATT018388". The record is from RNAcentral. Lineage: Eukaryota; Metazoa; Chordata; Mammalia; Rodentia; Muridae.